UACGUAGGGUGCAAGCGUUAUCCGGAUUUACUGGGUGUAAAGGGAGCGUAGACGGCGGUGCAAGCCAGAUGUGAAAGCCCGAGGCUCAACCCCGGGACUGCAUUUGGAACUGUGCUGCUAGAGUGUCGGAGAGGCAGGCGGAAUUCCUAGUGUAGCGGUGAAAUGCGUAGAUAUUAGGAGGAACACCAGUGGCGAAGGCGGCCUGCUGGACGAUGACUGACGUUGAGGCUCGAAAGCGUGGGGAGCAAACAGG
This 253-nucleotide ribosomal RNA is filed under the name uncultured bacterium. Its description in RNAcentral is "partial 16S ribosomal RNA". It matches the Rfam family "Bacterial small subunit ribosomal RNA", at positions 524 to 776 of the family's 1533-position model. The record is from RNAcentral.